AUUGCGGCGGGCUACACAUGCAGUCGAGCGCCCCGCAAGGGGAGCGGCAGACGGGUGAGUAACGCGUGGGAACGUACCUUUUGCUACGGAAUAACUCAGGGAAACUUGUGCUAAUACCGUAUGUGCCCUUCGGGGGAAAGAUUUAUCGGCAAAGGAUCGGCCCGCGUUGGAUUAGCUAGUUGGUGAGGUAAAGGCUCACCAAGGCGACGAUCCAUAGCUGGUCUGAGAGGAUGAUCAGCCACACUGGGACUGAGACACGGCCCAGACUCCUACGGGAGGCAGCAGUGGGGAAUAUUGGACAAUGGGCGCAAGCCUGAUCCAGCCAUGCCGCGUGAGUGAUGAAGGCCCUAGGGUUGUAAAGCUCUUUCACCGGUGAAGAUAAUGACGGUAACCGGAGAAGAAGCCCCGGCUAACUUCGUGCCAGAGC
RNAcentral lists this ribosomal RNA (427 nucleotides) under Ochrobactrum sp. HE109E. RNAcentral's name for it is "bacterial SSU rRNA". It matches the Rfam family "Bacterial small subunit ribosomal RNA", at positions 37 to 515 of the family's 1533-position model. Lineage: Bacteria; Pseudomonadati; Pseudomonadota; Alphaproteobacteria; Hyphomicrobiales; Brucellaceae. The record is from RNAcentral.